Molecule: ribosomal RNA, 3011 nt
Filed under: Salmonella enterica subsp. enterica serovar Typhimurium str. SARA13
Lineage: Bacteria; Pseudomonadati; Pseudomonadota; Gammaproteobacteria; Enterobacterales; Enterobacteriaceae
Description: bacterial LSU rRNA
Rfam family: Bacterial large subunit ribosomal RNA
Source: RNAcentral
GGGUUGUGAGGUUAAGCGACUAAGCGUACACGGUGGAUGCCCUGGCAGUCAGAGGCGAUGAAGGGCGUGCUAAUCUGCGAUAAGCGCCGGUAAGGUGAUAUGAACCGUUAUAACCGGCGAUACCCGAAUGGGGAAACCCAGUGUGACUCGUCACACUAUCAUUAACUGAAUCCAUAGGUUAAUGAGGCGAACCGGGGGAACUGAAACAUCUAAGUACCCCGAGGAAAAGAAAUCAACCGAGAUUCCCCCAGUAGCGGCGAGCGAACGGGGAGGAGCCCAGAGCCUGAAUCAGCAUGUGUGUUAGUGGAAGCGUCUGGAAAGGCGCGCGAUACAGGGUGACAGCCCCGUACACAAAAGCGCAUGUGCUGUGAGCUCGAUGAGUAGGGCGGGACACGUGGUAUCCUGUCUGAAUAUGGGGGGACCAUCCUCCAAGGCUAAAUACUCCUGACUGACCGAUAGUGAACCAGUACCGUGAGGGAAAGGCGAAAAGAACCCCGGCGAGGGGAGUGAAAAAGAACCUGAAACCGUGUACGUACAAGCAGUGGGAGCACCCUUCGGGGUGUGACUGCGUACCUUUUGUAUAAUGGGUCAGCGACUUAUAUUCUGUAGCAAGGUUAACCGUAUAGGGGAGCCGGAGGGAAACCGAGUCUUAAUUGGGCGUUAAGUUGCAGGGUAUAGACCCGAAACCCGGUGAUCUAGCCAUGGGCAGGUUGAAGGUUGGGUAACACUAACUGGAGGACCGAACCGACUAAUGUUGAAAAAUUAGCGGAUGACCUGUGGCUGGGGGUGAAAGGCCAAUCAAACCGGGAGAUAGCUGGUUCUCCCCGAAAGCUAUUUAGGUAGCGCCUCGUGAAUUCAUCUCCGGGGGUAGAGCACUGUUUCGGCUAGGGGGCCAUCCCGGCUUACCAACCCGAUGCAAACUGCGAAUACCGGAGAAUGUUAUCACGGGAGACACACGGCGGGUGCUAACGUCCGUCGUGAAGAGGGAAACAACCCAGACCGCCAGCUAAGGUCCCAAAGUCAUGGUUAAGUGGGAAACGAUGUGGGAAGGCCCAGACAGCCAGGAUGUUGGCUUAGAAGCAGCCAUCAUUUAAAGAAAGCGUAAUAGCUCACUGGUCGAGUCGGCCUGCGCGGAAGAUGUAACGGGGCUAAACCAUGCACCGAAGCUGCGGCAGCGAACGUAUCACCCAAGACAACUUUACGGAGUUGACGAUUGACGGAGCGAAGCGACGUCAAAGCGUUCAUUAAAGUCGAGUUGGCUUAGGGAUACGUUCGUUGGGUAGGGGAGCGUUCUGUAAGCCUGUGAAGGUGUGUCGUGAGGCAUGCUGGAGGUAUCAGAAGUGCGAAUGCUGACAUAAGUAACGAUAAAGCGGGUGAAAAGCCCGCUCGCCGGAAGACCAAGGGUUCCUGUCCAACGUUAAUCGGGGCAGGGUGAGUCGACCCCUAAGGCGAGGCCGAAAGGCGUAGUCGAUGGGAAACGGGUUAAUAUUCCCGUACUUGGUGUUACUGCGAAGGGGGGACGGAGAAGGCUAUGUUGGCCGGGCGACGGUUGUCCCGGUUUAAGCGUGUAGGUGUGUGUUCCAGGUAAAUCCGGUUCACUUUAACACUGAGGCGUGACGACGAGGCACUACGGUGCUGAAGCAACAAAUGCCCUGCUUCCAGGAAAAGCCUCUAAGCAUCAGGUAACAUCAAAUCGUACCCCAAACCGACACAGGUGGUCAGGUAGAGAAUACCAAGGCGCUUGAGAGAACUCGGGUGAAGGAACUAGGCAAAAUGGUGCCGUAACUUCGGGAGAAGGCACGCUGACACGUAGGUGAAGUGAUUUACUCAUGGAGCUGAAGUCAGUCGAAGAUACCAGCUGGCUGCAACUGUUUAUUAAAAACACAGCACUGUGCAAACACGAAAGUGGACGUAUACGGUGUGACGCCUGCCCGGUGCCGGAAGGUUAAUUGAUGGGGUCAGCGCAAGCGAAGCUCCUGAUCGAAGCCCCGGUAAACGGCGGCCGUAACUAUAACGGUCCUAAGGUAGCGAAAUUCCUUGUCGGGUAAGUUCCGACCUGCACGAAUGGCGUAAUGAUGGCCAGGCUGUCUCCACCCGAGACUCAGUGAAAUUGAACUCGCUGUGAAGAUGCAGUGUACCCGCGGCAAGACGGAAAGACCCCGUGAACCUUUACUAUAGCUUGACACUGAACAUUGAGCCUUGAUGUGUAGGAUAGGUGGGAGGCUUUGAAGUGUGGACGCCAGUCUGCAUGGAGCCGACCUUGAAAUACCACCCUUUAAUGUUUGAUGUUCUAACGUGGACCCGUAAUCCGGGUUGCGGACAGUGUCUGGUGGGUAGUUUGACUGGGGCGGUCUCCUCCUAAAGAGUAACGGAGGAGCACGAAGGUUGGCUAAUCCUGGUCGGACAUCAGGAGGUUAGUGCAAUGGCAUAAGCCAGCUUGACUGCGAGCGUGACGGCGCGAGCAGGUGCGAAAGCAGGUCAUAGUGAUCCGGUGGUUCUGAAUGGAAGGGCCAUCGCUCAACGGAUAAAAGGUACUCCGGGGAUAACAGGCUGAUACCGCCCAAGAGUUCAUAUCGACGGCGGUGUUUGGCACCUCGAUGUCGGCUCAUCACAUCCUGGGGCUGAAGUAGGUCCCAAGGGUAUGGCUGUUCGCCAUUUAAAGUGGUACGCGAGCUGGGUUUAGAACGUCGUGAGACAGUUCGGUCCCUAUCUGCCGUGGGCGCUGGAGAACUGAGGGGGGCUGCUCCUAGUACGAGAGGACCGGAGUGGACGCAUCACUGGUGUUCGGGUUGUCAUGCCAAUGGCACUGCCCGGUAGCUAAAUGCGGAAGAGAUAAGUGCUGAAAGCAUCUAAGCACGAAACUUGCCCCGAGAUGAGUUCUCCCUGAGACUUAGAGUCUCCUGAAGGAACGUUGAAGACGACGACGUUGAUAGGCCGGGUGUGUAAGCGCAGCGAUGCGUUGAGCUAACCGGUACUAAUGAACCGUGAGGCUUAACCUUACAACGCCGAAG